UCAUCUUCGGGGGUAGAGCACUGUUUCGGCUAGGGGGUCAUCCCGACUUACCAACCCGAUGCAAACUACGAAUACCGAAGAAUGUUAUCACGGGAGACACACGGCGGGUGCUAACGUCCGUCGUGAAGAGGGAAACAACCCAGACCGCCAGCUAAGGUCCCAAAGUCAUGGUUAAGUGGGAAACGAUGUGGGAAGGCACAGACAGCCAGGAUGUUGGCUUAGAAGCAGCCAUCAUUUAAAGAAAGCGUAAUAGCUCACUGGUCGAGUCGGCCUGCGCGGAAGAUGUAACGGGGCUAAACCAUGCACCGAAGCUGCGGCAGCGACACUAUGUGUUGUUGGGUAGGGGAGCGUUCUGUAAGCCUGCGAAGGUGACCUGUGAGGGUUGCUGGAGGUAUCAGAAGUGCGAAUGCUGACAUAAGUAACGAUAAAGCGGGUGAAAAGCCCGCUCGCCGGAAGACCAAGGGUUCCUGUCCAACGUUAAUCGGGGCAGGGUGAGUCGACCCCUAAGGCGAGGCCGAAAGGCGUAGUCGAUGGGAAACAGGUUAAUAUUCCUGUACUUGGUGUUACUGCGAAGGGGGGACGGAGAAGGCUAUGUUAGCCGGGCGACGGUUGUCCCGGUUUAAGCAUGUAGGCUGGUUGUCCAGGCAAAUCCGGAUAAUCAAGGCUGAGGUGUGAUGACGAGGCACUACGGUGCUGAAGUAACAAAUGCCCUGCUUCCAGGAAAAGCCUCUAAGCAUCAGGUAACAUCAAAUCGUACCCCAAACCGACACAGGUGGUCAGGUAGAGAAUACCAAGGCGCUUGAGAGAACUCGGGUGAAGGAACUAGGCAAAAUGGUGCCGUAACUUCGGGAGAAGGCACGCUGGUGUGUAGGUGAAGUCCCUGCGGAUGGAGCUGAGACCAGUCGAAGAUACCAGCUGGCUGCAACUGUUUAUUAAAAACACAGCACUGUGCAAACACGAAAGUGGACGUAUACGGUGUGACGCCUGCCCGGUGCCGGAAGGUUAAUUGAUGGGGUUAUCCGUAAGGAGAAGCUCUUGAUCGAAGCCCCGGUAAACGGCGGCCGUAACUAUAACGGUCCUAAGGUAGCGAAAUUCCUUGUCGGGUAAGUUCCGACCUGCACGAAUGGCGUAAUGAUGGCCAGGCUGUCUCCACCCGAGACUCAGUGAAAUUGAACUCGCUGUGAAGAUGCAGUGUACCCGCGGCAAGACGGAAAGACCCCGUGAACCUUUACUAUAGCUUGACACUGAACAUUGAGCCUUGAUGUGUAGGAUAGGUGGGAGGCUUUGAAGCGUGGACGCCAGUCUGCGUGGAGCCAACCUUGAAAUACCACCCUUUAAUGUUUGAUGUUCUAACGUUGGCCCCUUACCGGGGUUGCGGACAGUGUCUGGUGGGUAGUUUGACUGGGGCGGUCUCCUCCCAAAGCGUAACGGAGGAGCACGAAGGUUAGCUAAUCCUGGUCGGACAUCAGGAGGUUAGUGCAAUGGCAUAAGCUAGCUUGACUGCGAGCGUGACGGCGCGAGCAGGUGCGAAAGCAGGUCAUAGUGAUCCGGUGGUUCUGAAUGGAAGGGCCAUCGCUCAACGGAUAAAAGGUACUCCGGGGAUAACAGGCUGAUACCGCCCAAGAGUUCAUAUCGACGGCGGUGUUUGGCACCUCGAUGUCGGCUCAUCACAUCCUGGGGCUGAAGUAGGUCCCAAGGGUAUGGCUGUUCGCCAUUUAAAGUGGUACGCGAGCUGGGUUUAGAACGUCGUGAGACAGUUCGGUCCCUAUCUGCCGUGGGCGCUGGAGAAUUGAGGGGGGCUGCUCCUAGUACGAGAGGACCGGAGUGGACGCAUCACUGGUGUUCGGGUUGUCAUGCCAAUGGCACUGCCCGGUAGCUAAAUGCGGAAGAGAUAAGUGCUGAAAGCAUCUAAGCACGAAACUUGCCCCGAGAUGAGUUCUCCCUGAGACUUUAAGUCUCCUGAAGGAACGUUGAAGACGACGACGUUGAUAGGCCGGGUGUGUAAGCGCAGCGAUGCGUUGAGCUAACCGGUACUAAUGAACCGUGAGGCUUAACCUU
Molecule: ribosomal RNA, 2058 nt
Filed under: Klebsiella pneumoniae
Lineage: Bacteria; Pseudomonadati; Pseudomonadota; Gammaproteobacteria; Enterobacterales; Enterobacteriaceae
Description: partial 23S ribosomal RNA
Rfam family: Bacterial large subunit ribosomal RNA
Source: RNAcentral